RNAcentral lists this non-coding RNA (21 nucleotides) under Caenorhabditis elegans. The record is from RNAcentral. Lineage: Eukaryota; Metazoa; Nematoda; Chromadorea; Rhabditida; Rhabditidae.
UACUACGUGGGGUCUCGUUUU